UACGGAGGGUGCGAGCGUUAAUCGGAAUUACUGGGCGUAAAGCGCGCGUAGGCGGUUUGAUAAGUCAGAUGUGAAAUCCCCGGGCUUAACCUGGGAAUGGCAUUUGAUACUGUCUGACUCGAGUGUGGUAGAGGGAAGUGGAAUUCCGCAUGUAGCGGUGAAAUGCGUAGAUAUGCGGAGGAACACCAGUGGCGAAAGCGGCUUCCUGGACCAACACUGACGCUGAGGUGCGAAAGCGUGGGGAGCAAACAGG
This 253-nucleotide ribosomal RNA is filed under the name uncultured bacterium. RNAcentral describes it as "partial 16S ribosomal RNA". It matches the Rfam family "Bacterial small subunit ribosomal RNA", at positions 524 to 776 of the family's 1533-position model. The record is from RNAcentral.